RNAcentral lists this ribosomal RNA (647 nucleotides) under Calloria urticae. Its description in RNAcentral is "partial 18S ribosomal RNA". The stretch from base 192 to 494 matches the Rfam family "Group I catalytic intron". Lineage: Eukaryota; Fungi; Ascomycota; Leotiomycetes; Helotiales; Calloriaceae. The record is from RNAcentral.
UUAGGCUGAGUGGCACACUCGGCUCGAGACGGAAAGUUGUCCAAACUUGGUCAUUUAGAGGAAGUAAAAGUCGUAACAAGGUUUCCGUAGCUCAAGUACGGGACAGCGUGGUCGCAAGASCGCGUUGAUCCUUCCGCGUAACACUUGCCGAAGCCUUAGCAGCCUGAAAGGGUGCAGCUCCACGACGAUAAAUAAGAAGCUGAUUAAAUGCUAGUCCACGCUGUAAAACGCGUGGGCGACACUAUCAAAUUGCGGGAACACCCUAAAGACCUCAACACCAAGCGAUCGUGGGAAACCACGUCGUGGCCGAGCUAACUGCCCUGGGUAUGGUAAAAGUUUGAGGUAUGACACUCCUUCGGGGGUGGAAAUGGGCAAUCUGCAGCCAAGUCCUAAAGCGCUCCCGGGCGUCAUGGAUGCUGUUCACAGGCCAAAUGGUAGUGGGUGACCCUUAGGGGUUGCUUAAGAUAUGGUCGGGCCCUUCCAGAAAUGUUAGGGGUAAGUUUACGCAGGCGCGCCGUCAAAAGCACGCCUGUCCAAGUUGGAUUGGGAAUCAAGAGGCGGUAGGGAGCUCUCAUCGGCCUUCAACCCCUCGCGAUGACCAUCUGGCGAACAACCGUUCCGUAGGUGAACCUGCGGAAGGAUCAUUA